This 274-nucleotide ribosomal RNA is filed under the name uncultured bacterium. Its description in RNAcentral is "partial 16S ribosomal RNA". It matches the Rfam family "Bacterial small subunit ribosomal RNA", at positions 523 to 796 of the family's 1533-position model. The record is from RNAcentral.
CUACGGAGGGUGCAAGCGUUAUUCGGAAUCACUGGGCGUAAAGGACGCGUAGGCGGGUUGGCAAGUCAGAUGUGAAAUCCUACAGCUUAACUAUAGAACUGCAUUUGAAACUGCUAACCUAGAGUAUGGGAGGGGGAGAUGGAAUUAGUGGUGUAGGGGUAAAAUCCGUAGAUAUCACUAGGAAUACCGAAAGCGAAGGCGAUCUCCUGGAACAUAACAGACGCUAAGGCGUGAAAGCGUGGGGAGCAAACAGGAUUAGAUACCCCAGUAGUCC